UACAGAGGUCCCGAGCGUUGUUCGGAUUCACUGGGCGUAAAGGGUGCGUAGGUGGUGAGGUAAGUCGGAUGUGAAAUCUCCGAGCUCAACUCGGAAAUGGCAUUGGAAACUACCUUGCUCGAGGGUUGGAGGGGGGACUGGAAUACUUGGUGUAGCAGUGAAAUGCGUAGAUAUCAGGAGGAACACCGGUGGCGAAGGCGGGUCUCUGGGCAACAACUGACGCUGAGGAGCGAAAGCGUGGGGAGCGAACAGG
This 253-nucleotide ribosomal RNA is filed under the name uncultured bacterium. RNAcentral describes it as "partial 16S ribosomal RNA". It matches the Rfam family "Bacterial small subunit ribosomal RNA", at positions 524 to 776 of the family's 1533-position model. The record is from RNAcentral.